This 419-nucleotide ribosomal RNA is filed under the name uncultured eukaryote. RNAcentral describes it as "SSU rRNA". It matches the Rfam family "Eukaryotic small subunit ribosomal RNA", at positions 567 to 990 of the family's 1831-position model. The record is from RNAcentral.
CCAGCACCUGCGGUAAUCCCUGCUCCAAUAGCGUAUAUUAAAGUUGUUGCGGUUAAAAAGCUCGUAGUUGGAUUUCUGCUGAGAACGACCGGUCCGCCCUCUGGGUGUGUAUCUGGCUCUUUCUUGGCAUCUUCUUGGUGAACGUUACUGCACUUGACUGUGUGGAGCGCUACCCAGGACUUUUACUUUGAGGAAAUUAGAGUGUUUCAAGCAGGCAUACGCCUUGAAUACAUUAGCAUGGAAUAAUAAGAUAGGACCUCGGUUCUAUUUUGUUGGUUUCUAGAGCUGAGGUAAUGAUUAAUAGGGACAGUUGGGGGCAUUAGUAUUUCGUUGUCAGAGGUGAAAUUCUUGGAUUUACGAAAGACUAACUUAUGCGAAAGCAUUUGCCAAGGAUGUUUUCAUUGAUCAAGAACGAAAGU